GAUGAAGAACGUAGCGAAAUGCGAUAAGUAAUGUGAAUUGCAGAAUUCAGUGAAUCAUCGAAUCUUUGAACGCACAUUGCGCCCUCUGGUAUUCCGGGGGGCAUGCCUGUUCGAGCGUCAUUAUAACCACUCAAGCUCUCGCUUGGUAUUGGAGUUCGCGAUCUCGCGGCUCCUAAAAUCAGUGGCGGUGCCUGUCGGCUCUACGCGUAGUAAUACUCCUCGCGAUUGAGUCCGGUAGGUUUACUUGCCAGCAACCCCCAAUUUUUACAGGUUGACCUCGGAUCAGGUAGGGAUACCCGCUGAACUUAAGCAUAUCAAUAAGCGAGGA
RNAcentral lists this unclassified non-coding RNA (328 nucleotides) under soil metagenome. RNAcentral's name for it is "partial contains 5.8S ribosomal RNA, internal transcribed spacer 2, and large subunit ribosomal RNA". The stretch from base 1 to 120 matches the Rfam family "5.8S ribosomal RNA", at positions 35 to 154 of the family's 154-position model. The record is from RNAcentral.